RNAcentral lists this ribosomal RNA (451 nucleotides) under uncultured bacterium. Its description in RNAcentral is "partial 16S ribosomal RNA". It matches the Rfam family "Bacterial small subunit ribosomal RNA", at positions 28 to 507 of the family's 1533-position model. The record is from RNAcentral.
GGUGAAUGCUGGCGGCGUGCCUAACACAUGCAAGUCGAGCGGCAGCGCGGGGUGCUUGCACCCUGUCGGCGAGCGGCGAACGGCUGAGUAACGCGUAGGAAUUUGCCCCAAAGUGAGGAAUAACUGCCCGAAAGGGUAGCUAAUGCCGCAUAUGGUCUUCGGAUUAAAGGAUUUAUCCGCUUUGGGAGAAGCCUGCGUUGGAUUAGGUUGUUGGUAGGGUAAUGGCCUACCAAGCCGACGAUCCAUAGCUGGUCUGAGAGGAUGAUCAGCCAGACUGGAACUGAGACACGGUCCAGACUCCUACGGGAGGCAGCAGUGAGGAAUCUUCCACAAUGGGCGAAAGCCUGAUGGAGCAACGCCGCGUGAAGGAUGAAGGCCUUCGGGUUGUAAACUUCUUUUAUGAGUGAAGAAUAUGACGGUAACUCAUGGAUAAGCACCGGCUAACUACGUG